Molecule: ribosomal RNA, 327 nt
Filed under: uncultured eukaryote
Lineage: Eukaryota
Description: partial 18S ribosomal RNA
Rfam family: Eukaryotic small subunit ribosomal RNA
Source: RNAcentral
CCCUUAGAUGUUCUGGGCCGCACGCGUGCUACACUGGUGAAUACAGCGAGUGUCCAUUCCCUUGACCGAAAGGUCUGGGUAAUCUUAUGAAAGUUCAUCGUGACAGGGAUUGAUCAUUGCAAUUAUUGAUCAUGAACGAGGAAUUCCUAGUAAAGGCGAGUCAUCAUCUCGCUUUGAUUACGUCCCUGCCCUUUGUACACACCGCCCGUCGCUACUACCGAUUGAAUGGUUCGGUGAAAUCUCCGGACUGGCGUGAGUCGGAGCAAUCUGACAAACGCCGGAAAGUUGAUUAAACCUUACCAUUUAGAGGAAGGUGAAGUCGUAACA